GCUUGUGGGUUUAAGGGAUGGAACUUGGAGGUGGUUGAAGAGUAGUGAACAAGAAGAGGGCAAAAACACGGAGUUCGAGAACUUUAGCCGUUUUUCUCACAAUGUUGUUUCUCCUUUUCUCUCUUUAGCUCCUCCGUGCAGUCCCGGGUAGAGAGCCCGGUCCCUGCGCUAGUCGAUUUGUGCAGUAGGAAAGGAGGCUGCAGGGGAUCUGCGCCGGGGCAGGACAGAUGCCUUUCGGGACCCAGUGUUUGCAUCUUGGGAGAUGUGGGUGCUGAUCUGGUUGUUUCUUGGUUUAUGACGCCAAAAAGGGCGGGAGGGGGCUGAUGAAGUGAAGCCUUUCGCUAAUACAUUCCGUUAACAGAAGCCCACGAAGGAUCAUUGAUUUAUUUCACUCUUCCCUGUUUCUGAACCUUAUCUGGCAAAAACUUUUGUGGUGCAUAAAGUUCAGUAUGUUGCUAAAGCUGAGUUAAUGAAAGGAAAAUUUCAGCUGCGACUCUUGUUUUAAAAAUGAAUCUAGGAUGGAUAGUGGUGUUGGUUGCACAACAAUGAAUGGACAUAAUGCUACUGAACUGUGCACUUAAAAAUGGUUAAAAUGGUAAAUUUUCUGUUAUGUAUAUUUUACCACAAUAAGAAUGAAUUAGAAGGGAAAAGCUUUGUGCAUUCAUUUGAAAGUAAUGGUGAGGUCUUGUAACGUAGGCCAUUUAGGGGACAGGUUUUGAAUAUAUCUUUGUACCAGUUUUUUUUUUUUUCGAGUGUGUGUGUGAGACAGAGCAUUGCUCCGUCGCCCAGGCGGGAGUGCAGUAAUGUGAUCUCGGCUCACUGCAACCUCUGCCUCCGGAGUUCAAGCAAUUCUCCUGUCUCAGCCUCCCUAGUAGCUGGGACUACAGGCGCACACCACCACGCCUGACUACUUUUUGUAUUGUUAGUAGAGACGUGGUCUCACCAUAUUGGUCAGGCUGGUUUCGAACUCCUGACCUUAGGUGAUCCACCCGCCUUGGCCUUCCAAAGUGCUGGGAUUACAGGCCUAAGACACCGUGCCUGGCUUGUACCAGUUUUUACAUGAUUGGGUGUCCUCUUAUCCUGUGAACCAAUUUAUUUGCAUUUGUAUGAAUGGCCUGCUUUCCUGAUUUCUAAUUUGUCCCUUCUUUUAUAGCCCUAUACCAUUUUACUAUCCUUGCUAAACAGGCUUUUAUUGCUUGUUUUGUGACUUGAACUUUAGCCUCAAAAUUGGAAAGGCUUUUUCUGUUUUUUUUUUAGUUCCAGCCAUGUCUUAGGAAAAUAUAGUAAACAACCAAUUAUUUGCAUUUCCACGUCCGUGCAUCCCUAAAACACACAGUGUGCCAAGAUUCUUUCCCUGUUCCACGUUCUUUUUAUUCAAAUCACAUUGUUAACUCAUCUGCUGUGUGCCAGGCAGUGUGCUAAUCUUGGAAGAUACCAACAUGAAUGAAAAAGAACUUGGGUGGAGUGUUUGCAUUAUUACCCUAUGAUGUAAUGUGUAUAGUGCAGAGAUAAAUGCACAGAGAGCUAUUGAAGCUCAGAAGAAGCAUUAAUCCAACUUUGGGAAGAGGUCAUGGGUCAGGAAAAACUUCCAGGAGAAAAUGAUUCCAGAGAGUUGAAGUGGGAUGUCUUGUGGUGGCGGUUGGGAGGAGUAAAGGGAAAAGGAUUGCUUGAACAGAAGCUGUACAGUAAGAAACUGGUCUUUGUGCUGAACUAAAACUAAGACUUCUAUGCCACUGUUUAGGGAUGUGAGGCUGGAGAAGUUGACAAGGAUCAUGGUGAGCCUUCAAAAAAAGUCAAAUCAGUUCAACCAUUAUAUAUAUAUAUAUAGCUUAUUAGAUAUUUGCCAAAUACUGUGCUAGUUACUGAGGGAUAUAAUGAAAGUUAAGGGUCAGUCUAAAAUCUCAGAGUUUGCAAUCUAGCAGGGGUAGACAGGCAUGUAAAAACAAAAAAAAAACAAGUUCUGCUACAGAGUUAAAAUUGGGGUAGGUACGGGGUUGUCUGGGAACCCAGAAGAGGAGCACUUAACUAACCUAGAGAUUUAGCAGGACUUCCUGGUAAUUAUCUAUUGAUAGAAGAAUAUAAAAUAAUCUCUUAAAGAAAUAAGAAAAUUCACCUGGGGUGGCUCACUCCUGUAAUCCCGGCAUUUUGGGAAGCCGAGGCAGGCAGAUCACUUGAGGUCAGGAAUUUGAGACCAGCCUGGGUUUAGUAGAGAAACCCCAUCUCUACUAAAAAUAAAAAAAUUGCCGGGCGUGGUGGCAGGCGCCUGUAAUCCCAGCUACUCCAGAGGCUGAGGCAUGGGAAUCACUCGAACCUGGGAGGUGGAGGUUGCAGUGAGCCGAGAUCGUGCCACUGCAUUCCAGCCUGGGUGACAGAGUGAGACUCCAUCGCAAAAAAAACCAAAACGAACAGCAACAACAACAACAAAAACAAUAAGAAAUACGAAAAUUUAUGGCAUCUACUGAGGUACAGACUACUAGAGAGUAUAGCAUACUGAUCUAAUUGUCAGAUUACCUGGUUCUAAUUCUAGAGUCUACAGUAUACUGUGUUAUCUUGAGAGUCUCUUAUCUUCUCUAGGUCUGUUUUCUCUCAAAUAUAAGAAGAUAAUCACAUUAUAUAGACUUUGAAUUCCUUUAGAAAUUUGUCUAGAAAUUUCCUGAUUCUAAAUUUACUUCCCAUAUUUAUCUUCCCAAGUUUGGUGUCACCCAUUAUGCUGCUAAUAAACAGUUUUGUGUCACA
Molecule: long non-coding RNA, 2736 nt
Filed under: Homo sapiens (human)
Lineage: Eukaryota; Metazoa; Chordata; Mammalia; Primates; Hominidae
Description: HSALNT0335012
Source: RNAcentral